This 493-nucleotide ribosomal RNA is filed under the name uncultured bacterium. RNAcentral describes it as "partial 16S ribosomal RNA". It matches the Rfam family "Bacterial small subunit ribosomal RNA", at positions 29 to 523 of the family's 1533-position model. The record is from RNAcentral.
AACGAACGCUGGCGGCAGGCUUAACACAUGCAAGUUGAACGGGAUUUGCGGAGUGCUUGCACUAUGCAAAGAGAGUAGCGCACUGGUGAGUAACACGUGGGAACAUACCAUAGACUGGGGGAUAACGUUGGGAAACUGGCGAUAAUACCGCAUACGCCCUGAGGGGGAAAGAUUUAUUGGUCUAUGAUUGGCCCGCGCAACAUUAGGUAGUUGGUUAGGUAACGGCUAACCAAGCCUACGAUGUUUAGCUGGUCUGAGAGGACGAUCAGCCACACUGGAACUGAGACACGGUCCAGACUCCUACGGGAGGCAGCAGUAGGGAAUCUUCGGCAAUGGACGGAAGUCUGACCGAGCAACGCCGCGUGAGUGAAGAAGGUUUUCGGAUCGUAAAGCUCUGUUGUAAGAGAAGAACGAGUGUGAGAGUGGAAAGUUCACACUGUGACGGUAUCUUACCAGAAAGGGACGGCUAACUACGUGCCAGCCGCCGCGGUAA